AGUGGCAUUGCCGGGUAGCUAAGUUCGGAAGAGAUAACCGCUGAAAGCAUCUAAGCGGGAAACUCGUUUCAAGAUUAGAUCUGCCGGGGCCUUGAGCCCCCUAAAGAGUCGUUCAAGACCAGGACGUUGAUAGGUCAGGUGUGGAAGCGCAGUAAUGCGUUAAGCUAACUGAUACUAAUUGCUCGUGCGACUUGACCCU
Molecule: ribosomal RNA, 199 nt
Filed under: Polaromonas sp.
Lineage: Bacteria; Pseudomonadati; Pseudomonadota; Betaproteobacteria; Burkholderiales; Comamonadaceae
Description: partial 23S ribosomal RNA
Rfam family: Bacterial large subunit ribosomal RNA
Source: RNAcentral